Molecule: long non-coding RNA, 734 nt
Filed under: Vulpes vulpes (red fox)
Lineage: Eukaryota; Metazoa; Chordata; Mammalia; Carnivora; Canidae
Description: lncRNA (ENSVVUG00000029024.1)
Source: RNAcentral
UUUUAAUAUGUACGAUUAAUGUGGGCUAAUAUACAGUAAUAUGAAUUGACAUAGUCCUUUUUAUAGCAACACAGUCAUAAACUAUAAUUAUUAUUUAUCCCAUUAUUGAGGAAGGGGUCUGCAAAGGCGAGAGUGUCUGGGGCUGCACACGUCAUGCAACCCUGGGCCCCAGCAGGGAGGCACCUUGCCCUCUGGUCAUCUAAUUUCCAAAUCCGAUCCCUACCAGCAACUCUACAGGUGGCCAGGAUGGCAGGUUUUCCCCUGCUUUCCACACAGAGAGGCUGAGGUUUGGAAAGAGUAGGUGAGCUGGUUGGCACCGGCCAGUCCUGAACUUUCUGAUGCCCCCUGUUGCCAUUUCAGGGUCCUUUUCUGCCAGGGAGACGUCAGGUGGAGAACCCUUCACUGUGUCCCCAAGCCUCAUCUGUCACCUUCUCCAGCUCCAUCUGGGCUUCCGGAGAGAGGGCUGCAUGAUCGAAACAGUGCAGCCUGCAUGCUGGCCCCAGGGGCCCUGUAAGGCUCAGAGCAGCCCUCGAAAGCCUGUCUCCAGAACCCCUCCUGGAACCAGUUACCUGCAAAGGAGCAACGGCCCAGCAGUGCAAAGGUGCCUGCCUCCCGAGAGCAGCUGUGUGCCCAGGCUCUUCGCAGCCAACAGAUGCUACACCAGCCUUGUCACCGGGGCGCUGAGGCUGAGGAAGCGGCCGCAAGGGACUGGCGACUCCUUGGACAUUUCCUGA